This 404-nucleotide ribosomal RNA is filed under the name uncultured bacterium. RNAcentral describes it as "bacterial SSU rRNA". It matches the Rfam family "Bacterial small subunit ribosomal RNA", at positions 30 to 433 of the family's 1533-position model. The record is from RNAcentral.
AUUGAACGCUGGCGGUAUGCUUAACACAUGCAAGUCGAACGGUAGCAGGUCUAGCUUGCUAGAUGCUGACGAGUGGCGGACGGGUGAGUAACGCGUAGGAAUCUGCCUUAUUGUGGGGGAUAACCUGGGGAAACUCAGGCUAAUACCGCAUGAGCCCUAAGGGGGAAGGAUGGGACCGCAAGGCCAUUCGCGAUAAGAUGAGCCUGCGUCGGAUUAGCUUGUUGGUGGGGUAAAGGCCUACCAAGGCGAGGAUCCGUAGCUGGUCUGAGAGGACGACCAGCCACACUGGGACUGAGACACGGCCCAGACUCCUACGGGAGGCAGCAGUGGGGAAUAUUGGACAAUGGGGGCAACCCUGAUCCAGCCAUUCCGCGUGCAGGAUGAAGGCCUCGGUUGUAACUAGC